Molecule: ribosomal RNA, 497 nt
Filed under: uncultured bacterium
Lineage: Bacteria
Description: partial 16S ribosomal RNA
Rfam family: Bacterial small subunit ribosomal RNA
Source: RNAcentral
GAUGAACGCUGGCGGCGUGCCUAAUACAUGCAAGUCGAGCGAACAGACGAGGAGCUUGCUCCUCUGACGUUAGCGGCGGACGGGUGAGUAACACGUGGAUAACCUACCUAUAAGACUGGGAUAACUUCGGGAAACCGGAGCUAAUACCGGAUAAUAUAUUGAACCGCAUGGUUCAAUAGUGAAAGACGGUUUUGCUGUCACUUAUAGAUGGAUCCGCGCCGCAUUAGCUAGUUGGUAAGGUAACGGCUUACCAAGGCAACGAUGCGUAGCCGACCUGAGAGGGUGAUCGGCCACACUGGAACUGAGACACGGUCCAGACUCCUACGGGAGGCAGCAGUAGGGAAUCUUCCGCAAUGGGCGAAAGCCUGACGGAGCAACGCCGCGUGAGUGAUGAAGGUCUUCGGAUCGUAAAACUCUGUUAUUAGGGAAGAACAAAUGUGUAAGUAACUAUGCACGUCUUGACGGUACCUAAUCAGAAAGCCACGUCUAACUACGUG